This 284-nucleotide long non-coding RNA is filed under the name Brassica rapa (field mustard). Its description in RNAcentral is "long non-coding RNA (BRAP_LNC005311)". Lineage: Eukaryota; Viridiplantae; Streptophyta; Magnoliopsida; Brassicales; Brassicaceae. The record is from RNAcentral.
GAUAGGGACUUAGGAAAAAAGGAUUGCAUUCUGAACUUGUGGUGCUUCCGAGUUCGAUUCUACGAACUAAGUCGUCGUUUUGUUUGGGCCAUUUAAAUUCUUAGGCUUCCGCUCAGAUGCUUAAUUUGUGGUGCAUUUUUGCAUGGCUAUGAUAAAGUGGUAUUCAAGAUUCAGGAAUAUGCUAAAACAGUUUUUCCAGAUUGAGUUUUUUUUUUUUUUUUUUGAAUUGAAUGUUAAAUUGAAUUCAAAGAAAAAAUAACCUUGUUACAUCAAGUAUUACCUUG